RNAcentral lists this ribosomal RNA (429 nucleotides) under uncultured bacterium. RNAcentral's name for it is "bacterial SSU rRNA". It matches the Rfam family "Bacterial small subunit ribosomal RNA", at positions 355 to 776 of the family's 1533-position model. The record is from RNAcentral.
UGGGGAAUAUUGGACAAUGGGGGCAACCCUGAUCCAGGCAUGCCGCGUGUGUGAAGAAGGCCUUCGGGUUGUAAAGCACUUUAGGUAAGGAAGAAAAGUUAUUGGUUAAUACCUAAUGACCGUGACAUUACUUACAGAAUAAGGACCGGCUAACUCCGUGCCAGCAGCCGCGGUAAUACGGAGGGUCCAAGCGUUAAUCGGAAUUACUGGGCGUAAAGCGCGCGUAGGCGGUUUGACAAGUUGGGUGUGAAAUCCCCGGGCUUAACCUGGGAACUGCAUUCAAAACUUUUAAACUGGAGUACGGGAGAGGAGAGUAGAAUUCAUGGUGUAGCGGUGAAAUGCGUAGAUAUCAUGAGGAAUACCAAUGGCGAAGGCAACUCUCUGGACCGUAACUGACGCUGAGGUGCGAAAGCGUGGGUAGCAAACAGG